Molecule: long non-coding RNA, 510 nt
Organism: Oncorhynchus tshawytscha (Chinook salmon)
Lineage: Eukaryota; Metazoa; Chordata; Actinopteri; Salmoniformes; Salmonidae
Source: Ensembl
GUUGGAAAUCGCAAAUUCAACAAUAAGUGGUUUGGAAAGGAAUCAGUGGCUAUCUGUGAGUUCAAGACAACUGGGAACUUGGGAAAAGUGAGCUACGACUGGGAAAAUACGUUUUGAAUGGUCAUUCAACUUGGAAUUGUAAAUACGGCAUGUUUCUCUUUGAUGACAAAAUUUGCCCACGAAGGACCGCCGCGCCACAUUCCUGUCCAAGCACAUCACAACAACUUUAUAACACAGUGUAAACACAGCCAUAUUGACUUCAGAGGUUGGAGGGGUGGAGGAGGAGGUAGAAGCAGCAGGUUUGGACGGUUGGAGGAGGAGGUAGAAGCAGCAGGUUUGGACGGUUGGAGGAGGAGGUAGAAGCAGCAGGGUUGGAGGGUUUUGAGGAGGAGGUAGAAGCAGUAGGUUUGGACAGUUGGAGGAGGAGGUAGAAGCAGUAGGUUUGGACGGUUGGAGGAGGAGGUAGAAGCAGUAGGUUUGGACGGUUGGAGGAGGAGGUAGAAGCAGUAG